RNAcentral lists this ribosomal RNA (492 nucleotides) under uncultured bacterium. Its description in RNAcentral is "partial 16S ribosomal RNA". It matches the Rfam family "Bacterial small subunit ribosomal RNA", at positions 29 to 507 of the family's 1533-position model. The record is from RNAcentral.
AGUGAACGCUGGCGGUAGGCCUAACACAUGCAAGUCGAACGGCAGCACAGUAAGAGCUUGCUCUUACGGGUGGCGAGUGGCGGACGGGUGAGGAAUACAUCGGAAUCUACUUUUUCGUGGGGGAUAACGUAGGGAAACUUACGCUAAUACCGCAUACGACCUACGGGUGAAAGCAGUGGAUCUUCGGACCUUGCGCGAUUGAAUGAGCCGAUGUCGGAUUAGCUAGUUGGCGGGGUAAAGGCCCACCAAGGCGACGAUCCGUAGCUGGUCUGAGAGGAUGAUCAGCCACACUGGAACUGAGACACGGUCCAGACUCCUACGGGAGGCAGCAGUGGGGAAUAUUGGACAGUGGGGGCAAGCCUGAUCCAGCCAUACCGCGUGGGUGAAGAAGGCCUUCGGGUUGUAAAGCCCUUUUGUUGGGAAAGAAAAGCAGCAGGUUAAUACCCCGCUGUUCUGACGGUACCCAAAGAAUAAGCACCGGCUAACUUCGUG